UAAUCUCUCACUUCCCUUCGGGUGAAGUGGAUUUGGACCGUGCUGUCGACUCGUUCGUACGGCUCGUCCCGAAAUGCAUUGUGCCUGCAGAGUCUUGCGCGGAGCGAGGCUGACGAAACGGUGUGAUAUUUACUAUCUGCGCUGAAGUAGUCGGUUUCGAGCUGCUGCACCAGGAGCGCUCUGGGCUUUAUGACGAGGGUCUCGUGGCUUCGUGCCGCCUGGCCCCCACAUCUUCUUUGC
This 240-nucleotide unclassified non-coding RNA is filed under the name uncultured Exidia. RNAcentral's name for it is "sequence contains ITS2". Lineage: Eukaryota; Fungi; Basidiomycota; Agaricomycetes; Auriculariales; Exidiaceae. The record is from RNAcentral.